AUAGUGGGGGAGUAGCCUUUCGAAAGGAAGAUUAAUACCGCAUAAGAUUGUAGUAUCGCAUGAUAUAGCAAUUAAAGGAGCAAUUCGCUAUAAGAUGGACCCGCGUCGCAUUAGCUAGUUGGUGAGGUAAUGGCUCACCAAGGCGACGAUGCGUAGCCGACCUGAGAGGGUGAUCGGCCACAUUGGGACUGAGACACGGCCCAGACUCCUACGGGAGGCAGCAUG
Molecule: ribosomal RNA, 225 nt
Filed under: uncultured bacterium
Lineage: Bacteria
Description: partial 16S ribosomal RNA
Rfam family: Bacterial small subunit ribosomal RNA
Source: RNAcentral